This is a long non-coding RNA of Gadus macrocephalus (Pacific cod), 306 nucleotides long. RefSeq lists it as uncharacterized. The transcript has 2 exons. The record is from RefSeq and is a predicted model, not a curated record. NCBI's taxonomy places the organism in Eukaryota, Metazoa, Chordata, Actinopteri, Gadiformes, Gadidae.
GGCUCCGCCUCUUCCGCUACGUAGCUAAGAUGGCUGCCGUUGAGUACGGAAAUAAGUACGGACAGUACGGGUAUUGGAACACGGCACUGGAUAAUAAGGGCUAGCCUGGAGUGUACGCAUUAGCCUGCAGUAUUCGGGCUAGGCUGGAGUAUACAGACUCCAACCAACUUCAUCUCGUUAUAACCCAUGUGACGGCGGUUUCUGCCCCCCUGCUCCACUGACGUCAUCUCUUGAAUCAAACGGUGGUUCUAUUGUCGAGUUCCUCCCAGGGAGGGAUCUGUGAUUAAAAUGUGUUUUUAAGAUCAA